RNAcentral lists this ribosomal RNA (484 nucleotides) under uncultured bacterium. Its description in RNAcentral is "partial 16S ribosomal RNA". It matches the Rfam family "Bacterial small subunit ribosomal RNA", at positions 30 to 507 of the family's 1533-position model. The record is from RNAcentral.
AUUGAACGCUGGCGGCAUGCUUUACACAUGCAAGUCGAACGGCAGCGCGGGCUUCGGCCUGGCGGCGAGUGGCGAACGGGUGAGUAAUGCAUCGGAACGUGCCCAGUAGUGGGGGAUAGCGCGGCGAAAGCCGGAUUAAUUCCGAAUACGACCUGAGGGUGAAAGCGGGGGUCAGAAAGGGAUCGAGCUAUUGGAGCGGCCGUUGUCGGAUUAGCUAGUUGGUGGGGUAAAGGCUUACCAAGGCGACGAUCCGUAGCUGGUCUGAGGGGACGACCAGCUACACUGGGACUGGGACACGGCCCAGACUCCUACGGGAGGCAGCAUUGGGGAAUUUUGGACAAGGGGGGCAGCCCUGAUCCAGCCAUCCCGCGUGCUGGUAGAAGGCCUUCGGUUUUAAAACCGCUUUUGUUCGGGAAGAAAUCCUCUUUGCUAAUACCCCGAGGGGAUGACGGUACCGGAAGAAUAAGCACCGGCUAACUACGUG